Molecule: ribosomal RNA, 497 nt
Filed under: uncultured bacterium
Lineage: Bacteria
Description: partial 16S ribosomal RNA
Rfam family: Bacterial small subunit ribosomal RNA
Source: RNAcentral
GAUGAACGCUGGCGGCGUGCCUAAUACAUGCAAGUCGAGCGAACAGAUGAGGAGCUUGCUCCUCUGACGUUAGCGGCGGACGGGUGAGUAACACGUGGAUAACCUACCUAUAAGACUGGGAUAACUUCGGGAAACCGGAGCUAAUACCGGAUAAUAUAUUGAACCGCAUGGUUCAAUAGUGAAAGACGGUUUUGCUGUCACUUAUCGUGGGACCCGGGCCGCAUUAGCUAGUUGGUAAGGUAACGGCUUACCAAGGAAACGAUGCGUAGCCGACCGCAGAGGGUGAUCGGCCCCACUGGAACGGAGACCCGCUCCAGACUCCUACGGGAGGCAGCAGUAGGGAAUCUUCCGCAAAGGGCGAAAGCCUGACGGAGCAACGCCGCUGGAGUGAUGAAGGUCUUCGGAUCGUAAAACUCUGUUAUUAGGGAAGAACAAAUGUGUAAGUAACUAUUCACGUCUUGACGGUACCUAAUCAGAAAGCCACGGCUAACUACGUG